RNAcentral lists this ribosomal RNA (497 nucleotides) under uncultured bacterium. RNAcentral's name for it is "partial 16S ribosomal RNA". It matches the Rfam family "Bacterial small subunit ribosomal RNA", at positions 28 to 507 of the family's 1533-position model. The record is from RNAcentral.
GAUGAACGCUGGCGGCGUGCCUAAUACAUGCAAGUCGAGCGAACAGACGAGGAGCUUGCUCCUCUGACGUUAGCGGCGGACGGGUGAGUAACAUGUGUAUAAACUACCUAUAUGACUGGGAAAACCUCGGGAAAACGGAGCUUAUACCGGAUAAUCUAUUGAACAGCAAGGAGGAAUAGUGAAAGACGGCUUUGCAGUCACUUUUCGCUGAUUCCGCGCCGCAUUAGCUAGUGGGUAAGGUAACGGCUCACCAAGGCGACGAUGCGUAGCAGACCUGAGAGGGUGAUCGGCCACACUGGAACUGAGACACGGUCCAGACUCCUACGGGAGGCAGCAGUAGGGAAUAUUGCGCAAAGGGCGAAAGCUUGACGGAGCAACGCCGCGUGUGUGAUGAAGGCCUUCGGGUCGUAAAGUUCUGUUAUUGGGGAAGAACAAAUUUGUAAUUAACUAUGCACGUCUUGACGGUACCUGAUCAGAAAGCACCGGCUAACUACGUG